RNAcentral lists this long non-coding RNA (2983 nucleotides) under Cinara cedri. The record is from RNAcentral. Lineage: Eukaryota; Metazoa; Arthropoda; Insecta; Hemiptera; Aphididae.
UGGGAGACAACUAAAAAAUCAUAAUCGAAAUAUUGUCUGUGGCAAAAAUAAAAAGUUUCGCGACAAAAAAAGUAUUCGAGCGCACGCUACCGCGCGCGAGAUUAUCGGCAUUUUAUACGCUCGUGUACAAUAAUUACCAAAUGCGGACGGGUUAAUGAAAAUAAUUGACUCGAUCAGGCGGUGUUAAAUACGCAACAAAAGCCUCCGGUAAACAAAAAAGUUAAAUAAAUUGAACCAUGUAAUCGAGUUAAAAUGCAAAAAAAUUGUCGACGCAAUAAAGCAUUAAAAAAAACAAUAUGAAGUAAUAUUAUAUUAAAUUUGUUUAUUUUUUUCUCUUAAGUCUUCAUCCAAGUAAUAUAAAAUAUUUGUAUAUACUUGUAAAUCAUACAAAAAUAGACUUAAUCAAACUAUCGCAGUACCAAAAACAACCAGUUAACUGUACAAAGUUCAUAAGUUUGUACAAUGAUAACUUUAACUAGGUUAAUUAGUUAAUUAGAUAGAAAUAAUAAUUAAUUAGUUCGGUGAAAAGGUAAAAAAAAAAAACCUAGCUUCUUAACUAGUUAGAUAAACUAGUUUAUGUUGAUCAUUGUUAAUUACUGUACUGUAGAUAUGGAACAAAUAAUAAUCACAAAUAAAAUUGUUAGAAUAUUCUUCUCUACUAUACUGAAGAAAGCCAGAUCCAAAAAAAUUAAUUUUUAACCGAACUUUUCCUAUAUUGUAAAUCGGCUAGGUUAGGCGUUUCGAGACUAGAUUACUAAAUAAACACUCGUAUAAUAGUAUUUAAGCCGACGACAGGGACAUACGUCAGGACCACGUUAAAAUAUCCUGAGGGUAUAACAGAUUUUUAACCAUUCGAUUUUUACGAUAAUUAUUAUUAUAAGUCAGUUAUUGUACGCAUAAGAAGAAAAAGACGGCAAAUACGAGAGUAUUAUGCGAUAUUAAUCGAAUGUAGAACAGCUGACUGUGUAUACGAUUAUGACAGAGCGGAGCAUUAAAUUAUACAAAGCGAGUGCGUGUUCGAUAAUAUUUCAGUGUCGACCGUUAACUAGACUGCAGUAUAUCAAUAAAAUGCGGUUUUAAUUUUUCAACAAUUAGUUAAAAUUGGUUUGUUGUUACGCCAUGCGAUUGAUAUAACUCGUGUUAUUCAAUAUACAGAAACAGAUUUUUGACCGUAUUAAAAAAAAAAAAAAAAAAGGACUGACAUACUUCGCACUUGUAGGUAGGAAGUUGGAAAGUUAGUAUACAAACGGUUAUUUAAUGUAUAUAUAUAUAAUAUAAGUAACGAUAAACCGUUGCUAACGAAAAAACGAUUUUUAGUCGAGUUCAGUUGAUAGUGUUGCUUUGUCAACAAUAUAUAAACAUAUAAUGGCAUAUUAUGGUAAAAUGAUUACAACAAUGUGUGUUUCCAUGACUACAAUGAUUGUUUAAAAAAGAUUAAAAUAAUAAAAACUUAAUAAUAACAUUAAAUAAAUAAAAACGGUUGCCAAUGAACACCUUAUUUUUAAUCUUUCGAUCUUUUUUAACCUAAUUAACCGGGUUUUCCUUAUUAUCUCAAAUAUUAAUGGGAGUUUCAAAAAAUGGCCUUUUAAAAAGAUCAUCCAGAAAACUUUUCCUUUCAGAAACGGUGCUUUACUUGACAAGCAGAGUAAGCUUUUUGGUAGAAAAAAUGUUCACAUAAAAAAAUAAACAUCUUUUUAAAACCAAUAUAUUCUUCGCUAAACUCAAAAUCUAAAAAGAAUAAAAAAAUAUUGUACAUAUUAUGUAUUUUGUAGUUUUGAACACGUAACGGAGAACAAAAAUUAAAUCUACACGAAUUUCUCGGAUGUUGAUAUGAUUAUUACGAUGGCCGUUCGACUAGAUUUGUUUUCCCUGUUCCGCUCCCAAUCAAUAAGCGACUUAUGUAAAUUUGGAAAUUUGAAAGAAAGAAAUCGAAAAAAAAAUACUAAAUAUUAUAAUGCGUACCUACAUAAAAACCAAUUUCAAGAGGGCGCAAAACCCGCCAAUGUAAAUUAGCUGUAAGAAACUUAAUCAAAUAUUACUUUAAGUAGAAUAAAAAUUGUGGCGUUUGAGAAAUAUAUUGAUGUGUAAAUUUUUGAGAUUAAAACGUAGACAAAUUUUUUUUUUAAGGUGGUCAGAUUGUCAAUUUUAGCACUCCCACGCCCCCUGAGACCUUUUCGAUACGCGAUUAUUAUGGAUAUUACACGAUUUAAGAUUAUUGGAUAUAUUAAAUAGAGAUUUUAAUGAUUAUGAUAAACCGUCACCGAUUAUUAUAUUUUACGAUGAGUCGACAAAAUCUUUACAAUAAUAUUUUAUACAGAAUGCACGCUUGGACACCGUUAUCUUAAUCUUCGUGGGUUUUAAUAGGAAAGCCUACAAUGUCACCGCGGGGUCUAUAUUACCGUAAUAACAGGAAUUUGAUUACUCUUUGGUAAGAGUGGGAGGUGGGCGAAGGAAUAAAGAGUAUCUUCGAUGGAAGUCUUUUUUUUUUUAAUUGUUUAAUUUAACGGACAAUUUUGAAGCGAUUAUUUCUGCGGAGUUUCACGCGUCAUAAAUUGCGGGUGGAUACAAAGGCACUACGUGUAUAACCACAUUAAGGCGUAUUCGUACCAUAUGUCAGUUUUGAAAUGUUGUUAAUUUCAAAAUUGAUGAGGACCCCCAAUAUACUAACACAUAUGAUGUUUUGAAUAAUAACUGCGAAUGCUGGACGAUUUUUUUGAUGGGUACAAUAGUUAAUAAAGAUGCGGCCAUUUCUAUACACCUUAUGCAAAGAUCGUCAGAUAAUAAGUACCACAGUGGUUAAACCAGUGGCGCCGAAACCAGCAGUCAAGGGUGGCGGUUGUUAUCCUUCUUUUAAUGGGUGGGCGCGGCGGUGGACCCGAUAAUGGAUAUCUGAACCAUAUUUUUUUUAUCGAAAUGGUACACGUGGAAUAUUAAUUAAAAGUGUUGUACGGGAGUUUGUUUUUUAAACUUGGGUGGUGUUUUG